RNAcentral lists this ribosomal RNA (1437 nucleotides) under uncultured organism. Its description in RNAcentral is "SSU rRNA". It matches the Rfam family "Bacterial small subunit ribosomal RNA". The record is from RNAcentral.
CAGGCUUAACACAUGCAAGUCGAGGGGCAUCAGGAAGAAAGCUUGCUUUCUUUGCUGGCGACCGGCGCACGGGUGAGUAACACGUAUCCAACCUGCCCUUUACUCGGGGAUAGCCUUUCGAAAGAAAGAUUAAUACCCGAUAGCAUAAUGAUUCCGCAUGGUUUCAUUAUUAAAGGAUUCCGGUAAAGGAUGGGGAUGCGUUCCAUUAGGUUGUUGGUGGGGUAACGGCCCACCAAGCCUUCGAUGGAUAGGGGUUCUGAGAGGAAGGUCCCCCACAUUGGAACUGAGACACGGUCCAAACUCCUACGGGAGGCAGCAGUGAGGAAUAUUGGUCAAUGGGCGCUAGCCUGAACCAGCCAAGUAGCGUGAAGGAUGAAGGCUCUAUGGGUCGUAAACUUCUUUUAUAUAAGAAUAAAGUGCAGUAUGUAUACUGUUUUGUAUGUAUUAUAUGAAUAAGGAUCGGCUAACUCCGUGCCAGCAGCCGCGGUAAUACGGAGGAUCCGAGCGUUAUCCGGAUUUAUUGGGUUUAAAGGGAGCGUAGGUGGACUGGUAAGUCAGUUGUGAAAGUUUGCGGCUCAACCGUAAAAUUGCAGUUGAUACUGUCAGUCUUGAGUACAGUAGAGGUGGGCGGAAUUCGUGGUGUAGCGGUGAAAUGCUUAGAUAUCACGAAGAACUCCGAUUGCGAAGGCAGCUCACUGGACUGCAACUGACACUGAUGCUCGAAAGUGUGGGUAUCAAACAGGAUUAGAUACCCUGGUAGUCCACACAGUAAACGAUGAAUACUCGCUGUUUGCGAUAUACAGUAAGCGGCCAAGCGAAAGCAUUAAGUAUUCCACCUGGGGAGUACGCCGGCAACGGUGAAACUCAAAGGAAUUGACGGGGGCCCGCACAAGCGGAGGAACAUGUGGUUUAAUUCGAUGAUACGCGAGGAACCUUACCCGGGCUUAAAUUGCAGUGGAAUGAUGUGGAAACAUGUCAGUGAGCAAUCACCGCUGUGAAGGUGCUGCAUGGUUGUCGUCAGCUCGUGCCGUGAGGUGUCGGCUUAAGUGCCAUAACGAGCGCAACCCUUAUCUUUAGUUACUAACAGGUUAUGCUGAGGACUCUAGAGAGACUGCCGUCGUAAGAUGUGAGGAAGGUGGGGAUGACGUCAAAUCAGCACGGCCCUUACGUCCGGGGCUACACACGUGUUACAAUGGGGGGUACAGAAGGCAGCUAGCGGGUGACCGUAUGCUAAUCCCAAAAUCCUCUCUCAGUUCGGAUCGAAGUCUGCAACCCGACUUCGUGAAGCUGGAUUCGCUAGUAAUCGCGCAUCAGCCACGGCGCGGUGAAUACGUUCCCGGGCCUUGUACACACCGCCCGUCAAGCCAUGGGAGCCGGGGGUACCUGAAGUACGUAACCGCAAGGAUCGUCCUAGGGUAAAACUGGUGACUGGGGCUC